GUGAACGAGCGACGCCGCGUGCGGGAUGAAGGCCUUCGGGUUGUAAACCGCUGUCAGUGGGGAGCAAAUGCAUAAGGGUUCUCCCUUGUGUUUGAGCGAUCCGCAGAGGAAGCGCAGGCUAAGUUCGUGCCAGCAGCCGCGGUAAUACGAACUGCGCAAACGUUAUUCGGAAUCACUGGGCUUAAAGAGUUCGUAGGCGGCGCACUAAGUCGGGUGUGAAAUCCCUCGGCUUAACCGAGGAAUUGCGUCCGAAACUGGUGUGCUUGAGUAAGAUAGAGGUGAGCGGAACUGAUGGUGGAGCGGUGAAAUGCGUUGAUAUCAUCAGGAACACCGGUGGCGAAAGCGGCUCACUGGGUCUUAACUGACGCUGAGGAACGAAAGCUAGGGGAGCGAACGGGAUUAGAUACCCCGGUAGUCCUAGCCGUAAACGAU
RNAcentral lists this ribosomal RNA (432 nucleotides) under uncultured anaerobic ammonium-oxidizing bacterium. Its description in RNAcentral is "bacterial SSU rRNA". It matches the Rfam family "Bacterial small subunit ribosomal RNA", at positions 383 to 810 of the family's 1533-position model. The record is from RNAcentral.